This 465-nucleotide ribosomal RNA is filed under the name Vreelandella stevensii. RNAcentral's name for it is "partial 16S ribosomal RNA". It matches the Rfam family "Bacterial small subunit ribosomal RNA", at positions 338 to 795 of the family's 1533-position model. The record is from RNAcentral. Lineage: Bacteria; Pseudomonadati; Pseudomonadota; Gammaproteobacteria; Oceanospirillales; Halomonadaceae.
CCUACGGGCGGCUGCAGUGGGGAAUAUUGGACAAUGGGCGAAAGCCUGAUCCAGCCAUGCCGCGUGUGUGAAGAAGGCCUUCGGGUUGUAAAGCACUUUCAGUGGGGAAGAAAGCCUUGGGGCUAAUACCCUCGAGGAAGGACAUCUCCCACAGAAGAAGCACCGGCUAACUCCGUGCCAGCAGCCGCGGUAAUACGGAGGGUGCGAGCGUUAAUCGGAAUUACUGGGCGUAAAGCGCGCGUAGGCGGUCUGAUAAGCCGGUUGUGAAAGCCCCGGGCUCAACCUGGGAACGGCAUCCGGAACUGGCAGGCUAGAGUGCAGGAGAGGAAGGUAGAAUUCCCGGUGUAGCGGUGAAAUGCGUAGAGAUCGGGAGGAAUACCAGUGGCGAAGGCGGCCUUCUGGACUGACACUGACGCUGAGGUGCGAAAGCGUGGGUAGCAAACAGGAUUAGAUACCCGGGUAGUC